This 578-nucleotide ribosomal RNA is filed under the name Papiliotrema rajasthanensis. RNAcentral's name for it is "partial large subunit ribosomal RNA". It matches the Rfam family "Eukaryotic large subunit ribosomal RNA", at positions 90 to 657 of the family's 3401-position model. Lineage: Eukaryota; Fungi; Basidiomycota; Tremellomycetes; Tremellales; Rhynchogastremaceae. The record is from RNAcentral.
CGAAGUGAACCGGGAAGAAGCUCAAAUUUGAAAUCUGGCGUCCUCAGGGCGUCCGAGUUGUAAUCUAUAGAGGCGUUUUCCGUGCCGGACCGUGUCCAAGUUCCUUGGAACAGGAUAUCAAAGAGGGUGACAAUCCCGUACUUGACACGAUGACCGGUGCUCUGUGAUACGUCUUCUACGAGUCGAGUUGUUUGGGAAUGCAGCUCAAAAUGGGUGGUGAGUUCCAUCUAAAGCUAAAUAUUGGCGAGAGACCGAUAGCGAACAAGUACCGUGAGGGAAAGAUGAAAAGCACUUUGGAAAGAGAGUUAAACAGUACGUGAAAUUGUUGAAAGGGAAACGAUUGAAGUCAGUCGUGACUGAGAGGCUCAGCCGGUUCUGCCGGUGUAUUCCCCUCAGUCGGGUCAACAUCAGUUUUGUCCGGUGGAAAAGGGCGGUAGGAACGUGGCACCUCCGGGUGUGUUAUAGCCUGCCGUCGCAUACAUCGGGUGAGACUGAGGAAUGCAGCUCGCCUUUAUGGCCGGGGUUCGCCCACGUCCGAGCUUAGGAUGUUGACAUAAUGGCUUUAAACGACCCGCUGA